Molecule: ribosomal RNA, 497 nt
Filed under: uncultured bacterium
Lineage: Bacteria
Description: partial 16S ribosomal RNA
Rfam family: Bacterial small subunit ribosomal RNA
Source: RNAcentral
GAUGAACGCUGGCGGCGUGCCUAAUACAUGCCAGUCGAGCGAACAGACGAGGAGCUUGCUCCUCUGACGUUAGCGGCGGACGGGUGAGUAACACGUGGAUAACCUACCUAUAAGACUGGGAUAACUUCGGGAAACCGGAGCUAAUACCGGAUAAUAUAUUGAACCGCAUGGUUCAAUAGUGAAAGACGGUUUUGCUGUCACUUAUAGAUGGAUCCGCGCCGCAUUAGCUAGUUGGUAAGGUAACGGCUUACCAAGGCAACGAUGCGUAGCCGACCUGAGAGGGUGGUCAGCCACACUGGGACGGAGACACGGUCCAGAGUCCUACGGGAGGCAGCAGUAGGGAAUCUGCCGCAAUGGGCGGAAACCUGACGGAGCAACGCCGCGGGAGUAAUGAAGAUCUUCGGAUCGUAAAACUCUGUUAUUAGGGAAGAACAAAUGUGUAAGUAACUAUGCGCGUCUUGACGGUACCUAAUCAGAAAACCACGGCUAACUACGUG